RNAcentral lists this ribosomal RNA (459 nucleotides) under uncultured bacterium. RNAcentral's name for it is "partial 16S ribosomal RNA". It matches the Rfam family "Bacterial small subunit ribosomal RNA", at positions 338 to 795 of the family's 1533-position model. The record is from RNAcentral.
CCUACGGGUGACAGCAGUGAGGAAUAUUGGUCAAUGGGCGCGAGCCUGAACCAGCCAAGUCGCGUGAGGGAAGACGGUCCUAUGGAUUGUAAACCUCUUUUGUCGGGGAGCAAAAGACGCCACGCGUGGCGUUCCGAGAGUACCCGAAGAAAAAGCAUCGGCUAACUCCGUGCCAGCAGCCGCGGUAAUACGGAGGAUGCGAGCGUUAUCCGGAUUUAUUGGGUUUAAAGGGUGCGCAGGCGGAGGUGCAAGUCAGCGGUCAAAUUGCGGGGCUCAACCCCGUACUGCCGUUGAAACUGCAUCCCUUGAGUGCGCGAGAAGUAUGCGGAAUGCGUGGUGUAGCGGUGAAAUGCUUAGAUAUCACGAAGAACUCCGAUUGCGAAGGCAGUUCACUGGACUGCAACUGACACUGAGGCUCGAAAGUGUGGGUAUCAAACAGGAUUAGAUACCCCAGUAGUC